UACUUAGUCAACAUAUUGUUUAUACAUUAUAAAUUAUGAACAAUAUUAUAUGGGUGACUUUAUAACGCGGUAUUUUUGAUGUGAUAAAAUAAAACGUGUACAUAUACUCAUAAAAAUUAAGCUUAUAUUACCAACUUUUGUAAUGUAAGAAUGAGCCACAAGCGCUUCACACAAAUUUAAAAUCACAACUGCCAAGGUACACGUGCAGGUAAUACGACAGAAGCUAUGAAAUAACAACCAGAGUGAAUCGAACGUCUUUGGUCGCCUUUGUACUCGCGUGGUCGCCGACCACGAGCCGAGACUCAAUAAAGCCGGAGCGACGUGGAUUUCUUAUCAUAUAUACAUUAAUAUUAACCACGUUCUGGCAGAAUUUAAUGAUAAUAAUAAUAAUUAUUGGCAAAACCAAAAUUAAAGAGGAAAAAGGCUUUAUACUAAAUGUAGGGCCGAGAAAUCCGAUAGGCAUAAAACUCGGGAAAAAUGAGUAACAAAAAAAAGGAAUAAUAGAUUUACACGUAUACAAAAUACAUACAUACCUAUAUAUAAUAUACUAUCUAUAACCUAAACUAUGCGAGCCGCUUUUUCGACACCCCUGAUAUAUAUACACAACUUAGUACAUAUCCACCGGCUCUUAUGGAUAGUCACCGGGAUUAUACAAUAAUAAUUUAAAUAUAGCGAUAUUGAUAAUCGUGCUAAAAUAAUGGGAAUAAUGCAGAUAUUACAAAGAUAGUGUUCUUCAUAAGACCAAUAAUAAUAAUAAUAUGUAAUAAAAAACUUAACAGGUAACCGGCAACGUUGAAUUUGGAAAAUAUAUACAAGGUAAUUGAUGUACUAUAUUAUAUAUUGAUGUACUGUAUUAAAUGUAAAUACCUACUCGA
Long non-coding RNA from Aphis gossypii (cotton aphid), 875 nucleotides. RefSeq lists it as uncharacterized. The record is from RefSeq and is a predicted model, not a curated record. The transcript is spliced from 2 exons. Lineage: Eukaryota; Metazoa; Arthropoda; Insecta; Hemiptera; Aphididae.